ACGGGUGAGUAACGCGUGACGCGACCAACCUUGCACAGGGGGAUAACGGACCGAAAGGUUCACUAAUACCGCAUGAGACCACGGUGUUGCAUGACACGAGAGGUCAAAGGAGCAAUCCGGUGCAAGACGGGCUCGCGUCCGAUUAGGUAGUUGAGGGGUAACGGCCCACCAAGCCUAUGAUCGGUAGCCGACCUGAGAGGGUGAUCGGCCACAUUGGAACUGAGAUACGGUCCAAACUCCUACGGGAGGCAGCAGUGGGGAAUAUUGGGCAAAUGGGGGGAAACCCUGACCCAGCAACGCCGCGUGAAGGAAGAAGGUUUUUCGGAUUGUAAACUUCUGUCCUUGGUGAAGAGAAGAAGACGGUAGCCAAGGAGGAAGCCCCGGCUAACUACGUGCCAGCAGCCGC
RNAcentral lists this ribosomal RNA (406 nucleotides) under uncultured bacterium. RNAcentral describes it as "bacterial SSU rRNA". It matches the Rfam family "Bacterial small subunit ribosomal RNA", at positions 102 to 518 of the family's 1533-position model. The record is from RNAcentral.